UACGGAGGAUCCGAGCGUUAUCCGGAUUUAUUGGGUUUAAAGGGUGCGCAGGCGGGAUGUUAAGUCGGCGGUGAAAUUUUGCAGCUCAACUGUAAAAGUGCCUUCGAUACUGGCUUUCUUGAGUGUGGAUGAAGUAGGCGGAAUUUGUGGUGUAGCGGUGAAAUGCUUAGAUAUCACGAGGAACUCCGAUUGCGCAGGCAGCUUACUAAACCACUACUGACGCUCAUGCACGAAGGCGUGGGGAUC
RNAcentral lists this ribosomal RNA (246 nucleotides) under uncultured microorganism. RNAcentral's name for it is "partial small subunit ribosomal RNA". It matches the Rfam family "Bacterial small subunit ribosomal RNA", at positions 524 to 769 of the family's 1533-position model. The record is from RNAcentral.